CGCUGCGGCGGCUUAAUACAUGCAAGUCGUACGGUAGAGAUUCUUUCGGGGAUCUUGAGAGUGGCGCACGGGUGCGUAACGCGUAUGCAACCUACCUGUUACAGGGGGAUAGCCCGGGGAAACCCGGAUUAAUACCCCAUGGUAUAUAGAGACCGCAUGGUUUUUAUAUUAAAGAUUCAUCGGUAACAGAUGGGCAUGCGUAGGAUUAGCUAGUUGGUAAGGUAACGGCUUACCAAGGCUGCGAUCCUUAGGGGUUCUGAGAGGAAGGUCCCCCACACUGGUACUGAGAUACGGACCAGACUCCUACGGGAGGCAGCAGUAGGGAAUAUUGGGCAAUGGACGGAAGUCUGACCCAGCCAUGCCGCGUGCAGGAAGACGGCCUUAUGGGUUGUAAACUGCUUUUAUCAGGGAAGAAAAAGGCCAUGCGUGGCAAAUUGCCGGUACCUGAUGAAUAAGCACCGGCUAACUCCGUGCCAGCAGCCGCGGUAAUACGGAGGGUGCAAGCGUUGUCCGGAUUUAUUGGGUUUAAAGGGUGCGUAGGCGGGUUAAUAAGUCAGCGGUGAAAGUCCAGUGCUCAACACUGGAAUUGCCAUUGAUACUGUUAAUCUUGGAGUGUCGAUGGGGUACAUGGAAUUUANGGGGUGUAGCGGUGAAAUGCAUAGAUACCAUAAGGAACACCGAUAGCGAAGGCAUUGUACUUAUCGAUAACUGACGCUGAGGCACGAAAGCGUGGGUAGCGAACAGGAUUAGAUACCCUGGUAGUCCACGCCGUAAACGAGAUUACUCGCUGUUAUGCCUAUAAG
This 803-nucleotide ribosomal RNA is filed under the name uncultured bacterium. RNAcentral's name for it is "bacterial SSU rRNA". It matches the Rfam family "Bacterial small subunit ribosomal RNA", at positions 34 to 835 of the family's 1533-position model. The record is from RNAcentral.